Molecule: ribosomal RNA, 497 nt
Filed under: uncultured bacterium
Lineage: Bacteria
Description: partial 16S ribosomal RNA
Rfam family: Bacterial small subunit ribosomal RNA
Source: RNAcentral
GAUGAACGCUGGCGGCGUGCCUAAUACAUGCAAGUCGAGCGAACGGACGAGAAGCUUGCUUCUCUGAUGUUAGCGGCGGACGGGUGAGUAACACGUGGAUAACCUACCUAUAAGACUGGAAUAACUUCGGGAAACCGGAGCUAAUACCGGAUAAUAUUUUGAACCGCAUGGUUCAAAAGUGAAAGACGGUCUUGCUGUCACGUAUAGAUGGAUCCGCGCUGCAUUAGCUAGUUGGUAAGGUAACGGCUUACCAAGGCAACGAUGCAUAGCCGACCUGAGAGGGUGAUCGGCCACACUGGAACUGAGACACGGUCCAGACUCCUACGGGAGGCAGCAGUAGGGAAUCUUCCGCAAUGGGCGAAAGCCUGACGGAGCAACGCCGCGUGAGUGAUGAAGGUCUUCGGAUCGUAAAACUCUGUUAUUAGGUAAGAACAUAUGUGUAAGUAACUGUGCACAUCUUGACGGUACCUAAUCAGAAAGCCACGGCUAACUACGUG